ACAGCAGUCGCCACGGUAAUACAGAGGGUGCGAGCGUUAAUCGGAUUUACUGGGCGUAAAGCGUGCGUAGGCGGCUUCUUAAGUCGGAUGUGAAAUCCCUGAGCUUAACUUAGGAAUUGCAUUCGAUACUGGGAAGCUAGAGUAUGGGAGAGGAUGGUAGAAUUCCAGGUGUAGCGGUGAAAUGCGUAGAGAUCUGGAGGAAUACCGAUGGCGAAGGCAGCCAUCUGGCCUAAUACUGACGCUGAGGUACGAAAGCAUGGGGAGCAAACAGGAUUAGAGACCCCUGUAGUCCCUGUCUCUUAUAA
Molecule: ribosomal RNA, 305 nt
Filed under: uncultured bacterium
Lineage: Bacteria
Description: partial 16S ribosomal RNA
Rfam family: Bacterial small subunit ribosomal RNA
Source: RNAcentral